AAAAUAAGACAAGAACAAGUUCCAGAUCUGUCGGGCUAAGUCUGGUCCUAUUGUUUCUUCACCAAGUUUGUGCCUCAGGCAGUUGGGAUGCUGGUAGAGGCAGGAGCUACCAAAAGAACCAGCAGAGGCUUGGGGUGUGCAACCAGAAACCUUUGUUGUGUGACCUGAGGCUGCCAGACACACUUUGCCCAGAGCAGCACCUGUUGAGACUUGCUGGGCUCCCAGUCCGGGCCGCGCAGACCAAAGCAGAAGCCUGGCGCCCCCUGCUGAAAAGUCUGAUGUAUGUGAGGUCCCUGCUCGCACAAAGCUGCCUCAGCCUUUGUACAGGCUUCUGCACGUCUGAGAUCAUCCUGGGCUUCAGCUACCAGCACCAGGAUAAGAAUCUGAAGCUCCAGUGAGGGGCUGGGGCAGGUGUUUUCUUGUACAAAACCACCAGCUGAUUAAGAAAGGUAGGUGGGGAGAAUCUCUUUCCACAGAUUCCAGGAUGGCAGGUGGGGAGAUAAGACAAGUCCCUGUGGCUUACCUUAGACUCUGGGGCCCAACACAGAAGCUCUGGGAAAUUUCAGGCUGACUCUGGGAAUUUGGUUGGGAAUAGCAGUCAGAACCUGGCUUCCGUUGCUCUGGCCACAUUUGAGAGGAUGAGAGCUAUUGGUGCACAUUCCAGAAUCCUGGAAUCAGAAAGGAACUAAAAUUUAUGUUGUGUGGUGUGUUUGUUUGUUCCAGGCUCUGGGCUAGAUGACUCACAUGUGAGGUUUCAGUUACUACUUCAACGUGUGUACGGUAAGGCAGCAUUCUCUCCAUGCCCAGGGCGGUCAUGAGACAUGCCCAAGAUCACACACCUACUGUGGUAGAAGCUAUUAGUUGUUCCCCAAUAAGUGUCUACUAUAUCUCGGUUAUGGAAACAGAGCUGCCUAGAAAGAAGACUACAUUUCCCAACCUUCUGUGUGGCUAGGUGUCAUCACGUGACCGAGUUCUGACCAAUGAGAAGUAAAUGAAGUGUCUCAGGGCAGCCUCUAGGAACCUUCCUUAAGGCACAGCUUGUGUUUGUGCACUCUCCCCCAUCCUCUUUGCUCUUUCUUCUAUUUUGCUGUUUGGUAGGUGAGUGCCACUUUGAUCCACGAGGAUGAGGGCCACCCACUAGGAACAGCAGAACAGUGAGCUGGAAGAAGACUGGGACAUGGUACCAGGCCCAGACUGCUGCCUCUAGGCUUUCACAUGAGAGGGAAAUAAACAUCUACUUGUUAAAGCCA
This 1250-nucleotide long non-coding RNA is filed under the name Vulpes vulpes (red fox). RNAcentral's name for it is "lncRNA (ENSVVUG00000015071.1)". Lineage: Eukaryota; Metazoa; Chordata; Mammalia; Carnivora; Canidae. The record is from RNAcentral.